AGGUUCCGACAAUGAGAAGAACGGCAACGUUUUCACGGCGCAUGGUUUGGUUAUAGUAAUACUCAUUGUCAGUAUUUUAAUGGAUGCGAAUUUUGAUUUUCCCAUGAUGAAAAUUCAGACGCUUUCGCAGAAUUUUUUUAUAGGGCUUCGCAACGAUUUGACCGCAGAGUUCAGAAAAAGGUGUUUCUCUUUCGGAUUUUUAUCGCUGGAGUUCGAAAAUUUUUUGCCGACCAAAAACUACGAUGAUUCAAAAAUCAUGAGUGUACAGGACUCGAAUUCUACGUGAAAAAACUUUUUGCGAUUCGAGACAGAUGGCGCUUGAAUUUCGGAAAAAUUAAAGUUUUGAUUAUUCCGAGAACGGCGCUUCAGAUCGAAGAUAAGAAAGUACGUGUUGCAUGUUUACAAAAUAAAUGAAAACUCUACUUCAGGGUCUCACAGCGAGAGUUCCUCAAUCAUACUGAAUUGACUCUACGCUGAAAUCACAAAAGCUCGACGGGUGCACUAACUUACUAUAAUUGAACCACUUUUCCAAAAACGAACAACAAAAGAGACGGGAGA
This 558-nucleotide unclassified non-coding RNA is filed under the name Athalia rosae (coleseed sawfly). RNAcentral's name for it is "misc RNA ENSAEAG00005006282.1". The record is from RNAcentral. Lineage: Eukaryota; Metazoa; Arthropoda; Insecta; Hymenoptera; Athaliidae.